GGAGAGGUGGCAGAGCGGUUGAAUGCGGCGGUCUUGAAAACCGUUGAGGGCUAUGUCCUCCGGGGGUUCGAAUCCCUCCCUCUCCGCCA
This 89-nucleotide transfer RNA is filed under the name Actinomycetota bacterium. RNAcentral describes it as "Actinobacteria bacterium (freshwater metagenome) tRNA-Ser". It matches the Rfam family "tRNA". Rfam says of the family: Transfer RNA (tRNA) molecules are approximately 80 nucleotides in length. Their secondary structure includes four short double-helical elements and three loops (D, anti-codon, and T loops). Further hydrogen bonds mediate the characteristic L-shaped molecular structure. tRNAs have two regions of fundamental functional importance: the anti-codon, which is responsible for specific mRNA codon recognition, and the 3' end, to which the tRNAs corresponding amino acid is attached (by aminoacyl-tRNA synthetases). tRNAs cope with the degeneracy of the genetic code in two manners: having more than one tRNA (with a specific anti-codon) for a particular amino acid; and 'wobble' base-pairing, i.e. permitting non-standard base-pairing at the 3rd anti-codon position. Lineage: Bacteria; Bacillati; Actinomycetota. The record is from RNAcentral.